This 155-nucleotide ribosomal RNA is filed under the name Terfezia boudieri. Its description in RNAcentral is "5.8S ribosomal RNA". It matches the Rfam family "5.8S ribosomal RNA". Rfam says of the family: 5.8S ribosomal RNA (5.8S rRNA) is a component of the large subunit of the eukaryotic ribosome. Lineage: Eukaryota; Fungi; Ascomycota; Pezizomycetes; Pezizales; Pezizaceae. The record is from RNAcentral.
CUUUCAACAACGGAUCUCUAGGCUCUUGCAUCGAUGAAGAACGCAGUGAAAUGCGAUAAGUAAUGUGAAUUGCAGAAUCUCGUGAAUCAUUGAAUCUUUGAACGCACAUUGCGCCCUAUGGUAUUCCAUUGGGCAUGCCUGUCUGAGCGUCAGCU